AGUUGGUUAGAGCGGUGGACUGUUAAUCCAUGUGUCGUUGGUUCAACUCCAACCUGG
Molecule: transfer RNA, 57 nt
Filed under: Alginatibacterium sediminis
Lineage: Bacteria; Pseudomonadati; Pseudomonadota; Gammaproteobacteria; Alteromonadales; Alteromonadaceae
Description: Alteromonadaceae bacterium ALS 81 tRNA-Asn
Rfam family: tRNA
About the family: Transfer RNA (tRNA) molecules are approximately 80 nucleotides in length. Their secondary structure includes four short double-helical elements and three loops (D, anti-codon, and T loops).
Source: RNAcentral